Molecule: ribosomal RNA, 205 nt
Filed under: uncultured bacterium
Lineage: Bacteria
Description: partial 16S ribosomal RNA
Rfam family: Bacterial small subunit ribosomal RNA
Source: RNAcentral
UACAGAGGUCUCAAGCGUUGUUCGGAUUCAUUGGGCGUAAAGGGUGCGUAGGCGGCGCGGUAAGUCGGGUGUGAAAUCUCGGAGCUUAACUCCGAAACUGCAUUCGAUACUGCCGGUGCUUGAGGACUGGAGAGGAGACUGGAAUUUACGGUGUAGCGGUGAAAUGCGUAGAUAUCGUAAGGAAGACCAGUGGCGAAGGCGGGUC